GCCAACGUUCAUAUCACGUUGAAUACACCAGUUCUCGUCCGAUCACUGAAGUUAAGCAACGUUGAGCGUGGUUGAAGUAUCGCAGCACAAUCUCUUAGAAAUUACGACAGUUGAAC
Molecule: ribosomal RNA, 116 nt
Filed under: Diaphorina citri (Asian citrus psyllid)
Lineage: Eukaryota; Metazoa; Arthropoda; Insecta; Hemiptera; Psyllidae
Source: RNAcentral